AACGGGUGAGUAACACGUGGGCAAUCUGCCCUGCACUCUGGGACAAGCCCUGGAAACGGGGUCUAAUACCGGAUAUGACCGUCUGCCGCAUGGUGGAUGGUGUAAAGCUCCGGCGGUGCAGGAUGAGCCCGCGGCCUAUCAGCUUGUUGGUGAGGUAGUGGCUCACCAAGGCGACGACGGGUAGCCGGCCUGAGAGGGCGACCGGCCACACUGGGACUGAGACACGGCCCAGACUCCUACGGGAGGCAGCAGUGGGGAAUAUUGCACAAUGGGCGAAAGCCUGAUGCAGCGACGCCGCGUGAGGGAUGACGGCCUUCGGGUUGUAAACCUCUUUCAGCAGGGAAGAAGCGAAAGUGACGGUACCUGCAGAAGAAGCGCCGGCUAACUACGUGCCAGCAGCCGCGGUAAUACGUAGGGCGCAAGCGUUGUCCGGAAUUAUUGGGCGUAAAGAGCUCGUAGGCGGCUUGUCACGUCGGUUGUGAAAGCCCGGGGCUUAACCCCGGGUCUGCAGUCGAUACGGGCAGGCUAGAGUUCGGUAGGGGAGAUCGGAAUUCCUGGUGUAGCGGUGAAAUGCGCAGAUAUCAGGAGGAACACCGGUGGCGAAGGCGGAUCUCUGGGCCGAUACUGACGCUGAGGAGCGAAAGCGUGGGGAGCGAACAGGAUUAGAUACCCUGGUAGUCCACGCCGUAAACGGUGGGCACUAGGUGUGGGCAACAUUCCACGUUGUCCGUGCCGCAGCUAACGCAUUAAGUGCCCCGCCUGGGGAGUACGGCCGCAAGGCUAAAACUCAAAGGAAUUGACGGGGGGCCCGCACAAGCGGCGGGAGCAUGUGGGCUUAAUUCGACGCAACGC
RNAcentral lists this ribosomal RNA (852 nucleotides) under Streptomyces sp. RNAcentral describes it as "bacterial SSU rRNA". It matches the Rfam family "Bacterial small subunit ribosomal RNA", at positions 101 to 962 of the family's 1533-position model. Lineage: Bacteria; Bacillati; Actinomycetota; Actinomycetes; Kitasatosporales; Streptomycetaceae. The record is from RNAcentral.